RNAcentral lists this ribosomal RNA (791 nucleotides) under uncultured bacterium. RNAcentral describes it as "bacterial SSU rRNA". It matches the Rfam family "Bacterial small subunit ribosomal RNA", at positions 8 to 796 of the family's 1533-position model. The record is from RNAcentral.
AGAGUUUGAUCCUGGCUCAGAUUGAACGCUGGCGGCAUGCCUUACACAUGCAAGUCGAACGGUAACGGGCCUUCGGGUGCCGACGAGUGGCGAACGGGUGAGUAAUGUAUCGGAACGUACCUUUCAGUGGGGGAUAACGUAGCGAAAGUUACGCUAAUACCGCAUAUUCUGUGAGCAGGAAAGCAGGGGAUCGCAAGACCUUGCGCUGAUUGAGCGGCCGAUAUCAGAUUAGCUAGUUGGUGAGGUAAAGGCUCACCAAGGCGACGAUCUGUAGCGGGUCUGAGAGGAUGAUCCGCCACAUUGGAACUUAGACACGGUCCAGACUCCUACGGGAGGCAGCAGUGAGGAAUAUUGCGCAAUGGGCGAAAGCCUGACGCAGCGACGCCGCGUGGAGGAUGAAGGCCUUCGGGUUGUAAACUUCUGUUGAACGGGAAAAAAUGCACAAGUUUAAUAGACUUGUGAGAUGAUUGUACUGUUAAAGAAAGCACCGGCUAACUUCGUGCCAGCAGCCGCGGUAAUACGAAGGGUGCGAGCGUUAUUCGGAAUCAUUGGGCGUAAAGGGUGCGCAGGCGGUGCAUUAAGUCAACUGUUUAAUUCUUCGGCUUAACCGAAGGUCAGCGGUAGAUACUGGUGCACUAGAGUGUGGAAGAGAGAAGUGGAAUUCUCGGAGUAGCGGUAAAAUGCGUAGAUCUCGAGAGGAACACCGAUGGCGAAAGCAGCUUCUUGGUCCAUUACUGACGCUCAUGCACGAAAGCGUGGGGAGCAAACAGGAUUAGAUACCCUGGUAGUCC